UGCUUCGGGAAGGCCUCACGCGCAAGGGAAAACUUCGGCUUUUUCCGCCGUUGCUUCGGCUUCUUUCGGCUUCAAGAGCAGAAAAAAAAAAAGGGAGGGAGUACAGAUAAGAGAGCCUGCACCUUCUUGAGAGUCUCGUCGUCCAGCGCCAGGAAGCAGCGGCGGGAGUACUCCAGCAGGCGUUCCUUGGACGGAUCGAACUCUCCCACCUCCGCCAGCUUUUCGGGAGCCACGAUGAGCAGCUCCGCGAUGGGCGUGGUCAGCGCCACCGUGUUCCGGUCCACACGGUGGUGCUCAAAGGCUCGAGACAUGCUCUUCAGCUUCUGGAAGGUGCCCAGGAUCUUCUUGUAGCGGCAGAGUACCCCAUCAGCGUCCUUCACUGUAGGGCCAAAAGGGCAGAAAAAAAGAGAACAGGGAAAGACAGACAUGUGGGGCCAGAGACAUGGGUGAGCCCAGAUAGAAACAGGAGGGCAGGCAUGAGGAGGAAAGAUGGGGUGAAAGGCACACAAGUUAGAAAGCAAAUGAAAGCAAAGAAGAAAAAAACAAGGAAGUGGAGGAGCCCCAUACAGGAAGAGUAGGGAGAACAAAACGGAAAACAGUAGCAAUCAGAGCAAGAAAUGGAGAUGGACCUGGGGGGAAAUUGAAGAAGGCAGGCUGCGCAUGUGCCCAGAGGCCUCUUUUCUGAUGAGGAAACAGAAUUGACUCUGCUAGUUUGUGUAAACCGAAAUUUAAAAUGAACACAGAACCACAUAGAAGGGCUGAGAAAUGGA
Molecule: non-coding RNA, 770 nt
Organism: Myodes glareolus (Bank vole)
Lineage: Eukaryota; Metazoa; Chordata; Mammalia; Rodentia; Cricetidae
Source: RefSeq, a predicted model, not a curated record